Molecule: long non-coding RNA, 552 nt
Organism: Gadus macrocephalus (Pacific cod)
Lineage: Eukaryota; Metazoa; Chordata; Actinopteri; Gadiformes; Gadidae
Exons: 3
Source: RefSeq, a predicted model, not a curated record
CUUGCUUCGUCAUUACUUUUGACGACACACCUUGGUUGAACUUUAUUGCUUAACCAUUUAUCAGGCAAGCACGUAUACAGGUAGGCCCCACAACGUGGGUAAGUGUUCAGGGUUGUUGUUGGACCCCUACUAGCUCCAGGGAGCGGCUCCAUGGACCGGCGGGACCGAGAUAACCGUUGUGAAGAAGUCAGAGUCCUGCAAGUAUCUCCUGGCCGUCCUCCUGGCCCUCGUCAUCGCCGUCGUCCUGGCAGGAGGCGCGGCCCUUGUGUGGUACUUCCUGGAUUAUAGGGUGUGGGUGCUGGAGCCGAGGGUGCAGCAGCAGUACACUGCCUACUUCUCCAUCCUAAACAGGGAGCUGACUAAUGAUCUGACCUCUGACACCAGCCCAGAGUUCAGGAGCCAGGCCAGACAUGUCCAGGACCUGGUGGAGAAAAUAAUCACAGAUUCAAGUCUCUCUCGGUACCUCAACUCCACAGCUGUGUUCGCUUUCGGGUAUUGGAAGCGAUGUUUCAUGAUGUAUCGAAAGAAAGAAUUAUAAAGGACUGAAAUGAA